GGGCCCAUAGUUCAGCUUGGCUAGAACGCCGCUCUGAUAAGGCGGAGGUCCUCGGUUCAAGUCCGAGUGGGCCCA
RNAcentral lists this transfer RNA (75 nucleotides) under Candidatus Woesearchaeota archaeon. RNAcentral's name for it is "tRNA-Ile". It matches the Rfam family "tRNA". From Rfam's summary of the family: Transfer RNA (tRNA) molecules are approximately 80 nucleotides in length. Their secondary structure includes four short double-helical elements and three loops (D, anti-codon, and T loops). The record is from RNAcentral. Lineage: Archaea; Nanobdellati; Candidatus Woesearchaeota.